This 653-nucleotide ribosomal RNA is filed under the name uncultured bacterium. RNAcentral describes it as "bacterial SSU rRNA". It matches the Rfam family "Bacterial small subunit ribosomal RNA", at positions 94 to 743 of the family's 1533-position model. The record is from RNAcentral.
AGCGGCGGACGGGUGCGUAACACGUAGGAAUCUGCCCGGUAGUGGGGGAUAGCCCGGAGAAAUUCGGAUUAAUACCGCAUACGCCCUAAGGGGGAAAGCAGGGGAUCUUCGGACCUUGCGCUAUCGGAUGAGCCUGCGUCGGAUUAGCUUGUUGGUGGGGUAAAGGCCUACCAAGGCGACGAUCCGUAGCUGGUCUGAGAGGAUGAUCAGCCACACUGGGACUGAGACACGGCCCAGACUCCUACGGGAGGCAGCAGUGGGGAAUAUUGCACAAUGGGCGCAAGCCUGAUGCAGCUAUGCCGCGUGUGUGAAGAAGGCCUUAGGGUUGUAAAGCACUUUCAGUAGGGAGGAAAGGUUUACGGUUAAUACCCGUGAGCUGUGACGUUACCUACAGAAGAAGCACCGGCUAACUCCGUGCCAGCAGCCGCGGUAAUACGGAGGGUGCGGGCGUUAAUCGGAAUUACUGGGCGUAAAGCGUGCGUAGGCGGUGAUCUAAGUGGGAUGUGAAAGCCCCGGGCUCAACCUGGGAACUGCACCCCAAACUGGGUCGCUAGAGUACAGCAGAGGAGUGUGGAAUUUCCUGUGUAGCGGUGAAAUGCGUAGAUAUAGGAAGGAACACCAGUGGCGAAGGCGACACUCUGGGCUGAUACUGA